This 460-nucleotide ribosomal RNA is filed under the name uncultured bacterium. RNAcentral's name for it is "partial 16S ribosomal RNA". It matches the Rfam family "Bacterial small subunit ribosomal RNA", at positions 338 to 795 of the family's 1533-position model. The record is from RNAcentral.
CCUACGGGUGGCUGCAGUGAGGAAUAUUGGUCAAUGGUAGAGAUCCUGAACCAGCCAAGCCGCGUGAGGGAGGACGGUACUGUGUAUUGUAAACCUCUUUUGUCAGAGAACAAAGACUGGGACGUGUCCCGGGCUGCGUGUAUCCGAAGAAAAAGCAUCGGCUAACUCCGUGCCAGCAGCCGCGGUAAUACGGAGGAUGCGAGCGUUAUCCGGAUUUAUUGGGUUUAAAGGGUGCGUAGGCCGGAGGUUAAGGGUGGCGGGAAAUGUCGGGGCUCAACCCCGGCACGGCCGCGGAAACUGGCAUGCUUGAGUGCGCGAGACGUAUGCGGAAUUCGUGGUGUAGCGGUGAAAUGCAUAGAUAUCGCGAAGAACUCCGAUUGCGAAGGCAGCGUACGGGAGCGCGACUGACGCUGAGGCUCGAAGGCGCGGGUAUCGAACAGGAUUAGAUACCCUAGUAGUC